AUGGCUUUCGCUCUACGGGCCCUUCACCACCGCCUCCCCCGCUCUCUCCACCACUCCAAUCCCCUCUCCACCUCCGCCUCAUCCCACGACCUCCGCGAGCUCCUCCGCAUCCAACGCAUCCUCGGUGACCCCGCAGCAACCACCCAACCCCCACAAACGCAACAACGCCCACUAGCCUCCAGCACCACGGACCUGCACCGACUGCUCCACCGCGCGGCCGGCCUCAGCACCGCCGAGGCCACGUCCCUGCUCCACCGCGUCCCUAACACCCACCGCCUGGGCCACCUUCUCCAAGAACUUCGUGGCCUGCGCCUCCCGGCGGACGAGAUCAAGAACGCCCUCGGGUCCGACCCCGACGGGCUCCUCUCCAUGGAGCCGGGCGAGCCGUCCCGCCUCAUCGAGCUCCUGGACGAGCUCCGCUGCCGGGCGCCCAUCAAGGACCAGGUCCUCUCUCACGGCGUGCUCAGCGCCGCAAUCGCCACGAGGCGGCGGGUAGAGCUCCUGCACGAGCGCGGGCUGAGCCGGCGGGACGCGCUGAGGGUGAUCUCCGUUGAGCCCAGGGCAAUUUUAUAUAGCCUGGAGGAUGUGGAGAGGAAGGUGGAGUUCUUGGUGGGCAGGAUGGGGUUUGAGAUCGGUUGGCUGGUGGAGUACCCGGAGUUCUUGGGGAUAAAUCUCGACAGGUCGAUCGUCCCGCGGCACAAUGUGGUGGAGUAUUUGGCGUCGGUGGGUGGGCUUGGGGACCCCAUUGAGAUGAGGCAUUAUGUGAGAUUCAGCCGCCUCAAGUUCUACAAUCUGUUCGUGAAGCCAUACCUGGAGUGCGAGAGGAUUUUCGGGGGCCUAGUCAGGGAGAGAAAGGAUGAGGUGAGGCGCCAGCAUCCGGUGGGGUUGUGGAAGCUGUUUAAGCCGGCGAAGUAUGAGAGCACUGAGGAGAAUGUGAAGGACAUGAAGUUGGUUGUUGAAUCACUUCAUUAG
Molecule: ribosomal RNA, 972 nt
Filed under: Triticum aestivum (bread wheat)
Lineage: Eukaryota; Viridiplantae; Streptophyta; Magnoliopsida; Poales; Poaceae
Description: partial small subunit ribosomal RNA
Source: RNAcentral